AGAGUUUGAUCCUGGCUCAGGACGAACGCUGGCGGCGUGCUUAACACAUGCAAGUCGAACGGAAAGGCCCUUCGGGGUACUCGAGUGGCGAACGGGUGAGUAACACGUGGGUGAUCUGCCCUGCACUUUGGGAUAAGCCUGGGAAACUGGGUCUAAUACCGAAUAUGACCAUGCACUUCCUGGUGUGUGGUGGAAAGCUUUUGCGGUGUGGGAUGGGCCCGCGGCCUAUCAGCUUGUUGGUGGGGUAAUGGCCUACCAAGGCGACGACGGGUAGCCGGCCUGAGAGGGUGACCGGCCACACUGGGACUGAGAUACGGCCCAGACUCCUACGGGUGGCAGCAGUGGGGAAUAUCGCACAUUGGGCGCAAGCCUGAUGCAGCGACGCCGCGUGAGGGAUGACGGCCUUCGGGUUGUAAACCUCUUUCAGCACAGACGAAGCGCAAGUGACGGUAUGUGCAGAAGAAGGACCGGCCAACUACGUGCCAGCAGCCGCGGUAAUACGUAGGGUCCGAGCGUUGUCCGGAAUUACUGGGCGUAAAGAGCUCGUAGGUGAUUUGUCGCGUUGUUCGUGAAAACUCACAGCUUAACUGUGGGCGUGCGGGCGAUACGGGCAGACUUGAGUACUGCAGGGGAGACUGGAAUUCCUGGUGUAGCGGUGGAAUGCGCAGAUAUCAGGAGGAACACCGGUGGCGAAGGCGGGUCUCUGGGCAGUAACUGACGCUGAGGAGCGAAAGCGUGGGGAGCGAACAGGAUUAGAUACCCUGGUAGUCC
Molecule: ribosomal RNA, 771 nt
Filed under: uncultured bacterium
Lineage: Bacteria
Description: bacterial SSU rRNA
Rfam family: Bacterial small subunit ribosomal RNA
Source: RNAcentral